This 201-nucleotide unclassified non-coding RNA is filed under the name Hevea brasiliensis (rubber tree). Lineage: Eukaryota; Viridiplantae; Streptophyta; Magnoliopsida; Malpighiales; Euphorbiaceae. The record is from RNAcentral.
GGGUUUCCGUAUGCUCCACUAGGUCCACCAUACCCUGCAGCUGCAGCUCCAUAACUGCCAGCUCCAUAGCUUGCAGCACCAUAGCCAUUGUUGGCAGCUCCAUAUCCAUAUCCAGAAGCGCCAUAUCCAGAUGAGCCAUAUGCUGGAUAACCACCACCGGCAGCCGCCUGGGGUUGUGCAUAUCUGCUACCUUCAUAGGAG